RNAcentral lists this ribosomal RNA (694 nucleotides) under uncultured Bacteroidales bacterium. RNAcentral's name for it is "bacterial SSU rRNA". It matches the Rfam family "Bacterial small subunit ribosomal RNA", at positions 74 to 767 of the family's 1533-position model. The record is from RNAcentral. Lineage: Bacteria; Pseudomonadati; Bacteroidota; Bacteroidia; Bacteroidales.
CUUGCAAACCAAAGCUGGCGACCGGCGCACGGGUGAGUAACACGUAUCCAACCUGCCUCAUACUCGGGGAUAGCCUUUCGAAAGAAAGAUUAAUAUCCGAUAGCAUAUAUUUCCCGCAUGGGUUUUAUAUUAAAGAAAUUCGGUAUGAGAUGGGGAUGCGUUCCAUUAGUUUGUUGGCGGGGUAACGGCCCACCAAGACUACGAUGGAUAGGGGUUCUGAGAGGAGGGUCCCCCACAUUGGAACUGAGACACGGUCCAAACUCCUACGGGAGGCAGCAGUGAGGAAUAUUGGUCAAUGGACGCGAGUCUGAACCAGCCAAGUAGCGUGAAGGAUGACUGCCCUAUGGGUUGUAAACUUCUUUUAUAUGGGAAUAAAGUGGUCCACGUGUGGAUUUUUGUAUGUACCAUAUGAAUAAGGAUCGGCUAACUCCGUGCCAGCAGCCGCGGUAAUACGGAGGAUCCGAGCGUUAUCCGGAUUUAUUGGGUUUAAAGGGAGCGUAGGCGGAUUGUUAAGUCAGUUGUGAAAGUUUGCGGCUCAACCGUAAAAUUGCAGUUGAUACUGGCAGUCUUGAGUGCAGUAGAGGUGGGCGGAAUUCGUGGUGUAGCGGUGAAAUGCUUAGAUAUCACGAAGAACUCCGAUUGCGAAGGCAGCUCACUGGAGUGUAACUGACGCUGAUGCUCGAAAGUGUGGGUA